GUGACUAUAGGACAAUUGGUAGUCCAGCGGUUUGUGGUACCGUUUGUUGCGAGUUCAAAUCUCGUUAGUCACC
Molecule: transfer RNA, 73 nt
Filed under: Eubacterium sp.
Lineage: Bacteria; Bacillati; Bacillota; Clostridia; Eubacteriales; Eubacteriaceae
Description: tRNA-His
Rfam family: tRNA
About the family: Transfer RNA (tRNA) molecules are approximately 80 nucleotides in length.
Source: RNAcentral